This 776-nucleotide long non-coding RNA is filed under the name Olea europaea subsp. europaea. The record is from RNAcentral. Lineage: Eukaryota; Viridiplantae; Streptophyta; Magnoliopsida; Lamiales; Oleaceae.
AUACACGUUCUGAUAAGAAAUUUUCGAUGCCACAUUUUUCAGCCGACUGGUGAACAAUACUUUGCUUCCAUUUUUGUCAUCUGGAAAUAACCUUUUCAAAUCUUCCCACGCUUCUUUAUCCCAUAGAUCGUCCAUAACAAUGAGGUAUCUUCUACCCUUUAAACUUUUGUAAAUAUGUUCGUCCAACUCUUCAUCUUCCAUUUUUGAAUUAUCGUCUUUUUUAAGGUUACUCAAGGAGCUCCAAAUAUCGUUCAAUAGCUUUUUCUUAUAAGUUUGACUAACAGCACACCAAGAAAGCUUAUCAAAAUAGUACCGAACGUUGGAAUGAUCGUAUAUUUUCUUUGCUAGAGUUGUCUUGCCAAGUCCACCCAUUCCGACGAUGGAAAUAAUCUGGAGGUAGUUUGGUCCUCCAACAAGCUUGCUAACAAUUUGUGUUAUCGUGUCCUCUAAGCCCACAAUGAUCUCUUCCACCAUGGGAAUGCUUUUAUCUUAGGAUGACGAUACUUCACUUGGACUUUCUGCAACUUGUAGGCUUCCAAUUCCAACUUCACUUGACACUGCAAUGCUGUAAUAUUUAAUCUUCAAUAGAACACUCUCAAUCCUUUCUAACAGAACAAAAAUUGCUAGAUCCAUUUUGGUGGAGGUAACAAGAUCUAUGGUGAAAAAGAAAGAAUGCAAGAAAAGUCCUGCUUCAUUAAAUACAGCUUCAAUUUCUGUGAAUAUACUCUUCUUCUAUUCUUCCUCAUCGCUUGGAAUUGGAUAAUCAAGAAAGGUGA